CGAGUUGUUCUCCGGAGCACGAGAAGCGCCGCGGUCCCACCACCACUUCCCCCCGGAAAAAAGAGCCGCAAACACCGAGGACCCCCCCCCCCCGUUACUCCACCAGACGCAGCUCAGAGCGGCUCCUGCGUGGGGGGCAGUUGGGCAGUUUCUCAAAAAGCUGUGCAGGUGACUGUGGUGGCGGCGGUGUCCAUGCGUAUCACAGGUAUCACACAUGACGUGCACGUUGCGCGUGCGUUUCAACCUCGGUCACCUGUAGCUCGCUCGUCCUACAAAAGAGAGCUUACUUGCAGCAAAAGCGUGUUUUCUGUUCCGAUCCGAUUAGGAUCACGAAAGCGCGAUGCCGGUUUACUUGUUUCCCGUGGAUGAAGAUGUUCUGCCGUGAUCGCUGCUUCCCCCACUUCCCAUCACCCUGCGGAUCAAAGAAGCAUGAAUAUUAAUCAGAGUGAUGGCCAAACAUGAACAUAGGGGAGGAAGGUGGGAGAUGGAAAGAGAAGCCCAG
Gasterosteus aculeatus aculeatus (three-spined stickleback) is the source of this 502-nucleotide long non-coding RNA. The record is from Ensembl. NCBI's taxonomy places the organism in Eukaryota, Metazoa, Chordata, Actinopteri, Perciformes, Gasterosteidae.